ACGUAGUGUAGUGGUUAGUGUAUACGCCUGCUACGUACUUAGCCUUAGGGCCUCUAGCUAUCCUAGGGUUGAGCAAGGCUUCGCGCAAGGCCGUGGGUUCGAAUCCCGUUACAGCUAUA
This is a non-coding RNA of Parachaetomium inaequale, 119 nucleotides long. The record is from the annotation of a GenBank genome assembly. NCBI's taxonomy places the organism in Eukaryota, Fungi, Ascomycota, Sordariomycetes, Sordariales, Chaetomiaceae.